RNAcentral lists this long non-coding RNA (275 nucleotides) under Lathyrus oleraceus (garden pea). RNAcentral's name for it is "Pisum sativum (pea) long non-coding RNA (PSAT_LNC020231)". The record is from RNAcentral. Lineage: Eukaryota; Viridiplantae; Streptophyta; Magnoliopsida; Fabales; Fabaceae.
ACUUCUGCAUGUUUUAAUGCUUUGUUUUAGAAAAAGAGUUCAAUAAAGUCACAAAAACAAAAACAUUGCCAUUUUUAUUGUUUUGAAAAAAAAAGAUGAAAACAAAAAUAGAAAGAAAGGGAUCACAAAAUUUGAUUGCAAAACGUCCUUUAUUAAUGAUAAUCAUUAAAACAUGAUGAGGCCCUACAAUGAACCACUACGCCUUGGGCAGAGCGUAGGGCUUUCAUGCAAAAUGAAAAAACAAAAGAAAAUUACUUUGUCUGAAGAGUAACUUG